GAAAUGCGAUAAGUAGUGUGAAUUGCAGAAUUCAGUGAAUCAUCGAAUCUUUGAACGCACAUUGCGCCCUUUGGUAUUCCAAAGGGCAUGCCUGUUCGAGCGUCAUUUGUACCCUCAAGCUCUGCUUGGUGUUGGGCGUCUUUGUCUUCCCAGAAGACUCGCCUUAAAGUCAUUGGCAGCCGGCCUACUGGUUUCGGAGCGCAGUACAAGUCGCGCUCUCUUCCAGCCAAGGUCAGCGUCCACAAAGCCUUUUUUUCAACUUUUGACCUCGGAUCAGGUAGGGAUACCCGCUGAACUUAAGC
This 302-nucleotide unclassified non-coding RNA is filed under the name plant metagenome. Its description in RNAcentral is "partial contains 5.8S ribosomal RNA, internal transcribed spacer 2, and large subunit ribosomal RNA". The stretch from base 1 to 105 matches the Rfam family "5.8S ribosomal RNA", at positions 50 to 154 of the family's 154-position model. The record is from RNAcentral.